CCUACGGGUGGCAGCAGUGAGGAAUAUUGGUCAAUGGACGAGAGUCUGAACCAGCCAAGCCGCGUGAGGGAUGAAGGUCCUGUGGAUUGUAAACUUCUUUUGUCUGGGAAUAAAGACAGGGAUGCAUUCCCCCUUGUAUGUACCUUAUGAAUAAGGAUCGGCUAACUCCGUGCCAGCCGCCGCGGUAAUACGGGGGAUCCGAGCGUUAUCCGGAUUUAUGGGAUUUAGAGGGAGCGUAGGGGGGUUGUUAAGUCAGUGGUGAAAGGUUGGGGCUCAACCGAGCAACGGCAGUUGAAACUGGCAGACUGGAGUGGGGGAGAGGUGAGCGGAAUGCGAGGUGGAGCAGUGAAAUGCGUAGAUA
This 361-nucleotide ribosomal RNA is filed under the name uncultured bacterium. RNAcentral describes it as "partial 16S ribosomal RNA". It matches the Rfam family "Bacterial small subunit ribosomal RNA", at positions 338 to 696 of the family's 1533-position model. The record is from RNAcentral.